This 1433-nucleotide long non-coding RNA is filed under the name Heterocephalus glaber (naked mole-rat). RNAcentral's name for it is "lncRNA (ENSHGLG00000040136.1)". Lineage: Eukaryota; Metazoa; Chordata; Mammalia; Rodentia; Bathyergidae. The record is from RNAcentral.
GAAAAUUCCAUCCAGAAAAUUUUCUGGGAAGAAGCCAUGCGUGGAGAAGGUGCUGAAGAUUAAAUCCAGAAGCUCUCCCAUGCUAGGCAAGUGCUCUAACACUGAAUUACAUUCCCAUCCUUUUAAAUAGUUUUUAUUUGAAAUGAUCUAAGCUAGAAAACCUGCAAACACAGUAAAAUUCCUUUUUUUUCCUUUCAAACUAUUUGAAAGUGAGUUGCUGUCUGAUGCUCCAUCGCCCUCGAAUACGUCAGUGUUAUUUUUUACACACAAGGACCUUCUCCCACAUAACCCCAGGAUUCCAGCAAAAUCAAGAAAGUCACAUGAAUACCGUCUGACCCUCAGACCCCUUCAUGUUUCACCUGUUGUCCCUGUCGAGUCCAGUACAGCAAAGGAUCCAGUUUAGCCUUCAGCUGCCAUCACUUUGAUGUCCCUUCCUUGGAAGACUCCCUUAGUCAUUCUUGGUCUUCGGGAACCUUUUGAAAAUGACAGGGCAGUCAUGUAGAGUGCCCCUCAAUUUGGAGAUGACUGAUGCUUCUUCAUAAUUAGAUUCAGGUUAUGUAUCUUUAGUUUUGGUUUUGCAGUACUGAGGAUUGAACCCAGCGCCUUCAAACUGUGCUACAUCCCUAGUCCUUUUUAAAAAAUAUAUUUUUAUUUUGAGGCAGGGUCUUGCUAAGUCACUCAUUUGCCCAGGCUGGGCUCCAAAUUGUAAUCCUCAUGCCUCAGCUCUCAGAGUGCUGGAAUUACAGGUGUGUGCCGUCAUGCCUGGCUUUAAUGUUUUUGAACAUUAUGUUACCCAGGCUAUGCAGGCUAUGUAUCUUUGUCAUAGAUGUUGCAGAAGUGAUCAGUUUGUCCUGCUAGCGGUGACAUUUCCUGUGAUCACCUGAUGAAAGCGAGUUUACCAGACUUCUCCACCAGAAAGUUGCUCUUCUUCCUUUUGUAAUUAAUGAGUAGUUUGUGCAAAAGCAUUGAGGGCAUGCAGAAAUCCUGUUAUCACAUUCUCACCUUAUUUAUUUAUAUCAGUAUGGAUUCAUGGUCCUCUAUUUUACUCUGAGUUACAUCUGUUAUUUUUAUUUAAAAAUUGUCAUAUUAUUUUUAGUAUAUAAGUUAGGAUAAAGAUGAAGAAUGAAGUAAGACAAGAAGAAAACACAUAGAGUCAUACAAAUAAUUGUACAUGGUACUGUGUGUAAGUGAGUGUGCCCAGCACAGGAACAGUGGAAUUCUCAGGAGUUUAGACUCAUACAUGUGUCUUUACAACAUUACCUGAAGAAGUCCACCUGGAAUUUCCAGGUGAGCACCCCUUCCUGGGGGAAUAAGGGAAUCACUGUGAUAACAAAGCUUCAGAUGCUAACUGUGCAUCAGGUACUGCUGUAAGUGAUUUACAGAUAUUAGCUUACCCACCUUUUGCAGUUGAGGAAACUGAGGCACAGAGGGAC